CCCCUUGGUACGAAAAGGAAGAGGGAAAUAAUGGAAAAAUGAAGAUAAGGCCACUAUCCAUAUCAGCAUACUGCAAGAUUUUGCAGAGAGUUGUAUCGAAUAUCAUCAUUUAUACACCAUAUAUAUCUCCUCUCAUGGUUCUAUAAGAUAUAACAAAGAUUUAAUUAAUGGGAUAAAUUUCAGGUAUACCGUAUACCCAAUAAUCAUCUUCCUAGUUUUUCUAGCUUACGAAUUAGCCAUUGUACAUCAAAGAGAAGCAAGCAUGGAUGACAUGUUGAGAUCAAAAGGAAAGGGAAAAAAGGGCCAUCAGGGCUAC
This 316-nucleotide long non-coding RNA is filed under the name Sorghum bicolor (sorghum). RNAcentral's name for it is "long non-coding RNA (SBIC_LNC003892)". The record is from RNAcentral. Lineage: Eukaryota; Viridiplantae; Streptophyta; Magnoliopsida; Poales; Poaceae.